UACGAAGGGUGCGAGCGUUGUUCGGAAUUACUGGGCGUAAAGGGUUUGUAUGCUGAAAUGUAAGUCAAGUGUGAAAUCCCCGAGCUAAACUUGGGACGUGCAUUUGAAACUGUGUUUCUUGAGUAUCGUAGAGGGUGGUGGAAUUGUAGGUGUAGGAGUGACAUCCGUAGAGAUCUGCAGGAACAUCAGAGGCGAAGGCGACCACCUGGCCGAUGACUGACGCUGAGGAACGAAAGCGUGAGGAGCAAACAGG
RNAcentral lists this ribosomal RNA (253 nucleotides) under uncultured bacterium. RNAcentral's name for it is "partial 16S ribosomal RNA". It matches the Rfam family "Bacterial small subunit ribosomal RNA", at positions 524 to 776 of the family's 1533-position model. The record is from RNAcentral.